CAGUAGCCGCGGUAAUACAGAGGGUGCAAGCGUUGUUCGGAAUUAUUGGGCGUAAAGCGCGUGUAGGCGGCGUGACAAGUCGGGUGUGAAAGUCCUCAGCUCAACUGAGGAAGUGCGCCCGAAACUGUCGUGCUUGAGUGCCGGAGAGGGUGGCGGAAUUCCCCAAGUAGAGGUGAAAUUCGUAGAUAUGGGGAGGAACACCGGUGGCGAAGGCGGCCAUCUGGGACAACACUGACGCUGAGGCACGAAAGCGUGGGGAGCAAACAGGAUUAGAUACCCCCGUAGUCCCUGUCUCUUAUAA
This 301-nucleotide ribosomal RNA is filed under the name uncultured bacterium. RNAcentral describes it as "partial 16S ribosomal RNA". It matches the Rfam family "Bacterial small subunit ribosomal RNA", at positions 509 to 809 of the family's 1533-position model. The record is from RNAcentral.